Molecule: transfer RNA, 74 nt
Filed under: Pirellulaceae bacterium
Lineage: Bacteria; Pseudomonadati; Planctomycetota; Planctomycetia; Pirellulales; Pirellulaceae
Description: tRNA-Arg
Rfam family: tRNA
About the family: Transfer RNA (tRNA) molecules are approximately 80 nucleotides in length. Their secondary structure includes four short double-helical elements and three loops (D, anti-codon, and T loops).
Source: RNAcentral
GCGCCCGUAGCUCAAUUGGAUAGAGCGGCGGACUUCGGAUCCGCAGGUUGGGGGUUCGAGCCCUCCCGGGCGUA